This 495-nucleotide ribosomal RNA is filed under the name uncultured bacterium. RNAcentral's name for it is "partial 16S ribosomal RNA". It matches the Rfam family "Bacterial small subunit ribosomal RNA", at positions 30 to 507 of the family's 1533-position model. The record is from RNAcentral.
UGAACGCUGGCGGCGUGCCUAAUACAUGCAAGUCGAGCGAACAGACGAGGAGCUUGCUCCUCUGACGUUAGCGGCGGACGGGUGAGUAACACGUGGAUAACCUACCUAUAAGACUGGGAUAACUUCGGGAAACCGGAGCUAAUACCGGAUAAUAUAUUGAACCGCAUGGUUCAAUAGUGAAAGACGGUUUUGCUGUCACUUAUAGAUGGAUCCGCGCCGCAUUAGCUAGUUGGUAAGGUAACGGCUUACCAAGGCGACGAUGCGUAGCCGACCUGAGAGGGUGAUCGGCCACACUGGAACUGAGACACGGUCCAGACUCCUACGGGAGGCAGCAGUAGGGAAUCUUCCGCAAUGGGCGAAAGCCUGACGGAGCAACGCCGCGUGAGUGAUGAAGGUCUUCGGAGCGUAAAACUCUGUUAUUAGGGAAGAACAAAUGUGUAAGUAACUAUGCACGUCUUGACGGUACCUAAUCAGAAAGCCACGGCUAACUACGUG